Molecule: ribosomal RNA, 254 nt
Filed under: uncultured prokaryote
Also listed under: 1 other name
Description: partial 16S ribosomal RNA
Rfam family: Bacterial small subunit ribosomal RNA
Source: RNAcentral
UACGGAGGGUGCAAGCGUUAAUCGGAAUUACUGGGCGUAAAGCGCACGCAGGCGGUCUGUCAAGUCGGAUGUGAAAUCCCCGGGCUCAACCUGGGAACUGCAUUCGAAACUGGCAGGCUAGAGUCUUGUAGAGGGGGGUAGAAUUCCAGGUGUAGCGGUGAAAUGCGUAGAGAUCUGGAGGAAUACCGGUGGCGAAGGCGGCCCCCUGGACAAAGACUGACGCUCAGGUGCGAAAGCGUGGGGAGCAAACAGGA